This 433-nucleotide ribosomal RNA is filed under the name uncultured bacterium. RNAcentral's name for it is "partial 16S ribosomal RNA". It matches the Rfam family "Bacterial small subunit ribosomal RNA", at positions 29 to 507 of the family's 1533-position model. The record is from RNAcentral.
AACGAACGCUGGCGGCAGGCCUAACACAUGCAAGUCGAGCGGACCCUUCGGGGUUAGCGGCGGACGGGUGAGUAACGCGUGGGAAUAUGCCCUUCUCUACGGAAUAGUCCUGGGAAACUGGGGGUAAUACCGUAUACGCCCUUUGGGGGAAAGAUUUAUCGGGGAAGGAUUAGCCCGCGUUGGAUUAGGUAGUUGGUGGGGUAAUGGCCUACCAAGCCGACGAUCCAUAGCUGGUUUGAGAGGAUGAUCAGCCACACUGGGACUGAGACACGGCCCAGACCCCUGCGGGAGGAGGGAGUGGGGAUUCUUAGAGAAGGGGGGAAACCCUGAUCCACCUACGCCGCGUGAGUGAAGAAGCCCUUGGGGUUGAAAAUCUCUUGAGGCGGGAAAGAAAAGGGGGGAACGAGAAAAAGAAGCCCCGGCAACCUCGGUC